This 497-nucleotide ribosomal RNA is filed under the name uncultured bacterium. RNAcentral describes it as "partial 16S ribosomal RNA". It matches the Rfam family "Bacterial small subunit ribosomal RNA", at positions 28 to 507 of the family's 1533-position model. The record is from RNAcentral.
GAUGAACGCUGGCGGCGUGCCUAAUACAUGCAAGUCGAGCGAACAGACGAGGAGCUUGCUCCUCUGACGUUAGCGGCGGACGGGUGAGUAACACGUGGAUAACCUACCUAUAAGACUGGGAUAACUUCGGGAAACCGGAGCUAAUACCGGAUAAUAUAUUGAACCGCAUGGUUCAAUAGUGAAAGACGGUUUUGCUGUCACUUAUAGAUGGAUCCGCGCCGCAUUAGCUAGUUGGUAAGGUAACGGCUUACCAAGGCAACGAUGCGUAGCCGACCUGAGAGGGUGAUCGGCCACACUGGAACUGAGACACGGUCCAGACUCCUACGGGAGGCAGCAGUAGGGAAUCUUCCGCAAUGGGCGAAAGCUUGACGGAGCAACGCCGCGUGAGUGAUGAAGGUCUUCGGAUCGUAAAACUCUGUUAUCAGGGAAGAACAAAUGUGUAAGUAACUAUGCACGUCUUGACGGUACCUAAUCAGAAAGCCACGGCUAACUACGUG